GGUUCUUUGUUUAAAUAUUAAGAAUCUGACCUGCCCGGUGAGGUGUUUAACGGCCGCGGUAAAUUAACCGUGCUAAGGUAGCAUAAUCAAUUGUCUAUUAAUUGUAGACUGGAAUGAAAGGUUUGACUUAAAACAAAUUGUCUUGGCUAUAAGAUGAAUUUUUUAUUUUUAUGAGGAGAUAAAAAUGGAGCAAAGGGACGAGAAGACCCUAUUGAGCUUUAUAAAAAUAAUUGUUUUUAUGAGUAGGGAGUGUUGACAAGAUAUUUUAUUUUGCUGGGGCGGUAAAGGUGAAAGAAAACUGUUUUUUAGAAAGGGAACUGAUAGGUUAUUAAUUGAUCCAGAAAUUCUGAUUAAAAGACUAAGUUACUGUAGGGAUAACAGCGUAAUUUCUCUUUGAAGUUCAAAUUUAUGGGGAAGGUUGCGACCUCGAUGUUGGUUUAGGAUACCUGUUAGGUGAAGGAGCUUAAGAAGGUAGUCUGUUCGACUAUAAAAAUCCUAUA
Molecule: ribosomal RNA, 500 nt
Filed under: Newportia quadrimeropus
Lineage: Eukaryota; Metazoa; Arthropoda; Chilopoda; Scolopendromorpha; Scolopocryptopidae
Description: partial 16S ribosomal RNA
Rfam family: Bacterial large subunit ribosomal RNA
Source: RNAcentral